RNAcentral lists this ribosomal RNA (506 nucleotides) under uncultured bacterium. Its description in RNAcentral is "partial 16S ribosomal RNA". It matches the Rfam family "Bacterial small subunit ribosomal RNA", at positions 29 to 523 of the family's 1533-position model. The record is from RNAcentral.
AGUGAACGCUGGCGGUAGGCCUAACACAUGCAAGUCGAACGGCAGCACAGGAGAGCUUGCUCUCUGGGUGGCGAGUGGCGGACGGGUGAGGAAUACAUCGGAAUCUACUCUGUCGUGGGGGAUAACGUAGGGAAACUUACGCUAAUACCGCAUACGACCUACGGGUGAAAGCAGGGGACCUUCGGGCCUUGCGCGAUUGAAUGAGCCGAUGUCGGAUUAGCUAGUUGGCGGGGUAAAGGCCCACCAAGGCGGCGAUCCGUAGCUGGUCUGAGAGGAAGAUCAGCCGCACGGGAACUGGGACACGGUCCAGACCCCUACGGGAGGCAGCAGUGGGGAAUAUUGGACAAUGGGCGCCAGCCUGAUCCAGCCAUACCGCGUGGGUGAAGAAGGCCUUCGGGUUGUAAAGCCCUUUUGUUGGGAAAGAAAUCCAGCUGGCUAAUACCCGGUUGGGAUGACGGUACCCAAAGAAUAAGCACCGGCUAACUUCGUGCCAGCCGCCGCCGUAA